ACAUAACAAAACUACUUCUUCAUAUUUGCCUUCAAAAAUGCAUGUUUUAUUUUAUGGUAUGAUUAUUAAAUUCGAUACAUUUUAUUUGAAAUCUUACAAAAAAUAGAAAAGAAAUCUUAAUUUGAAACCUGUGGAUGCUAUAUGAUAUUCUCAAGCUCCAUCAAGAAUUUCUUUUUCUUCUUCUUCUUUCUUUCUUCUUUUUUUCCGCUGCUAUGUGAAGUUGAAACUGCUCCCACCACCAUUAGCCUAUUAGUCACCAUCUACAGACUACAGUAACGGGAAAGUAGUCCCUGACCGAAAGCCAACUCAGUUCCAUUCAUUUUCUCAAGUUCUGACACAUCAAAGUCAACUCAUACUUACAACUCUAAAUCUAAUCUCCACCAUAAAUUCCCUUUCCCUUCCACCCAAAUGCCCAACUGCACCCACCACUGCCAUCUUCCAUUCCUUUUAACCAUAUCUCUAAAUCUUCCUUUUUCCUCCUCCCUAGUAGUUUUAGCAUAUAUGUAUCUUACUUUCCUAUUGAUUCUUGAAGGAAUACCCAAAAGUAAGCAGAUGUAAGGAAUAAAAAGUAAAGGAAAAUAGAAAAGAUGCCACCUAGUUUAAAAGGUUAUGGUUAAUAGUUAUGACACAUCGCUUUGUGGCCAAGGCCGCCACCAGAUAUGUCCUCCCAUGGAUGUGUGGCAGUGGCAGUGGCAGUGUUUAUAGAUCUCACCAGUAGAGGUAGGUAUCACGUUUGGUGUAAACUAUUUUUAUACAUUUAUUUCUGCGUCCUAAUUAUAAAAAUUCUUAAAAUUCCUUUUUAUUAAUCUAAAAUUCUACCAAAUUCAUAUAUUUUCAAAUGAAUUUCUACAUUUACGGGAUUAUUAUUAUUUUUAUCACGCAUAAUUAUUUUUGUUUUAAAUUUUCUCUCUCAUUCCUUUAUUUAUUUGUUUAUCUUUUUCUCUCUUUAAAUUUUAAUCUAUUUUUUAAAUAAUAUUAUAUAUUAUUAUCAAAUAAAAAAAAUUAAGAUUUAGUUCAAUUGUGUGCUAUGAAAAAUAAUAGAUUUGAGUCAACUCCUUCAUAUUAAUUGAAUUUUUCUUUUUAUAUUGAAUGUAAGAGAAUGACUAUUUUUAUUGUACUAUUUUGAAUACGUUGAAUCUAGCAUAAAUUAAACAAAGUGACAUUUAUAAUAAAUUUUAUUGAUAUUAAAUGAAUUAGAUUAGUGCAAUACAGUUGAAUUAGAGAAAGAACAAGCUGAGUAGGCUGCCAGAGAUUAAGGAAAGGAAAGAGGCAACAUCUGUACGUGUAAUAUGUGUGGAUCCAACGUGGAUGGCUAAUCUUUGAUAUAUAAGGUCCGCCACCGCCAGCAAAUUUCUUCAAUAACUUUACUGAAACUGCGCUGCCUUUGUUAGAAACAAAAACUAAUGUUUGUUGUAUUCAAUUCAAAACUAAUAAUGAUAUUCUCGAAAAAAAUCAGCCGUCGUUUUAGCUGUAGAGUUCUUCUU
This 1484-nucleotide long non-coding RNA is filed under the name Ricinus communis (castor bean). RNAcentral describes it as "long non-coding RNA (RCOM_LNC000055)". The record is from RNAcentral. Lineage: Eukaryota; Viridiplantae; Streptophyta; Magnoliopsida; Malpighiales; Euphorbiaceae.